UACGUAGGAGACGAGCGUUGUCCGGAGUUACUGGGCGUAAAGGGCGCGUAGGCGGUUCCAUAAGUCCCGCGUGAAAUCCCCCGGCUCAACCGGGGAACUGCGCGGGAAACUGCGGGGCUUGAGUUCGGGAGAGGGAAGCGGAAUUCCGGGUGUAGCGGUGAAAUGCGUAGAUAUCAGGAAGAACACCGGUGGCGAAGGCGGUUUGCUGGGCCAUCACUGACGCUGAGACACGAAAGCGUGGGGAGCAAACGGG
This 253-nucleotide ribosomal RNA is filed under the name uncultured bacterium. RNAcentral's name for it is "partial 16S ribosomal RNA". It matches the Rfam family "Bacterial small subunit ribosomal RNA", at positions 524 to 776 of the family's 1533-position model. The record is from RNAcentral.